Molecule: ribosomal RNA, 292 nt
Filed under: uncultured bacterium
Lineage: Bacteria
Description: partial 16S ribosomal RNA
Rfam family: Bacterial small subunit ribosomal RNA
Source: RNAcentral
GUGCCAGCAGCCGCGGUAAUACAGAGGUCCCGAGCGUUGUUCGGAUUCACUGGGCGUAAAGGGUGCGUAGGUGGCGAUGGAAGUUUGAUGUGAAAUCUCCGGGCUCAACCCGGAAAUGGCAUUGAAUACUCUAGCGCUUGAGGUUUGGAGGGGGGACUGGAAUUCUCGGUGUAGCAGUGAAAUGCGUAGAUAUCGAGAGGAACACCAGUGGCGAAGGCGGGUCCCUGGACAACACCUGACACUGAGGCACGAAAGCUAGGGGAGCAAACAGGAUUAGAUACCCUGGUAGUCC